RNAcentral lists this ribosomal RNA (253 nucleotides) under uncultured bacterium. RNAcentral's name for it is "partial 16S ribosomal RNA". It matches the Rfam family "Bacterial small subunit ribosomal RNA", at positions 524 to 776 of the family's 1533-position model. The record is from RNAcentral.
UACGAAGGGGGCAAGCGUUGUUCGGAAUUACUGGGCGUAAAGGGCUCGUAGGCGGCCAACUAAGUCAGACGUGAAAUCCCUCGGCUUAACCGGGGAACUGCGUCUGAUACUGGUUGGCUUGAAUCCGGGAGAGGGAUGUGGAAUUCCUGGUGUAGCGGUGAAAUGCGUAGAGAUCAGGAGGAACACCCGUGGCGAAGGCGGCUCCCUGGUCCGUUUCUGACGCUGAGACGCGAAAGCGCGGGGAGCGAACGGG